RNAcentral lists this ribosomal RNA (322 nucleotides) under uncultured bacterium. RNAcentral's name for it is "partial 16S ribosomal RNA". It matches the Rfam family "Bacterial small subunit ribosomal RNA", at positions 355 to 694 of the family's 1533-position model. The record is from RNAcentral.
UGGGGAAUAUUGGACAAUGGGGGCAACCCUGAUCCAGCAAUGCCGCGUGUGUGAAGAAGGUCUUCGGAUUGUAAAGCACUUUCGACGGGGACGAUGAUGACGGUACCCGUAGAAGAAGCCCCGGCUAACUUCGUGCCAGCAGCCGCGGUAAUACGAAGGGGGCUAGCGUUGCUCGGAAUGACUGGGCGUAAAGGGCGUGUAGGCGGUUUACACAGUCAGAUGUGAAAUCCCCGGGCUUAACCUGGGAGCUGCAUUUGAUACGUGUAGACUAGAGUGUGAGAGAGGGUUGUGGAAUUCCCAGUGUAGAGGUGAAAUUCGUAGA